RNAcentral lists this ribosomal RNA (350 nucleotides) under uncultured bacterium. RNAcentral describes it as "bacterial SSU rRNA". It matches the Rfam family "Bacterial small subunit ribosomal RNA", at positions 29 to 386 of the family's 1533-position model. The record is from RNAcentral.
AUUGAACGCUGGCGGCAUGCCUUACACAUGCAAGUCGAAGCGCGAAAGGGGCAACCCGAGUAGAGCGGCGGACGGGUGAGUAACACAUCGGAACGUGCCCAGUAGUGGGGGACAACCUCGAGAAAUCGAGGCUAAUACCGCAUACGACCCACGGGUGAAAGCGGGGACCGCAAGGCCUCGCGCUAUUGGAGCGGCCGAUGUCCGAUUAGCUAGUUGGCGGGGUAAGAGCCCACCAAGGCGACGAUCGGUAGCUGGUCUGAGAGGACGACCAGCCACACUGGGACUGAGACACGGCCCAGACUCCUACGGGAGGCAGCAGUGGGGAAUUUUGGACAAUGGGGCAACCCUGA